GAUGAACGCUGGCGGCGUGCCUAACACAUGCAAGUCGAGCGGACUGACGCGACGCUUGCGUCUCUGAUGUUAGGGGCGGGCGGGUGAGUCACACGUGUAUACCCUCCCUAUCUGACUGGUAUCACUUCGGGAAUCCGGAUCUAACACCGUAUAAUAUUUUGAACCGCGUGGUUCAAUAGUGAAAGACGGUCUUGCUGUCACUACUAGAUGGUUCCGGGCUGGUUUAGCUAGUUGUUACGUUAACGGCUUACCAAGGCAACGAUGCAUAGCCGAACUGAGAGGGUGAUCGGCCACACUGGAGCUGAGACGCGGACAAGACGACUACGGGAGGCAGCAGUAGGGAACCGUAGGCAAUGGGCGAGAGCAUGACACAGCAAGGGCGCGUGUGUGAUGGAGGUGUUCGGAGCGUGAAGCUCUGUUAUUAGGGAAGAACAGCUGUCGACUUAGACGUAGCGUGAGUGACGGUAACGAGUCAAGAAGCAACGGCUAACUACGUG
This 497-nucleotide ribosomal RNA is filed under the name uncultured bacterium. RNAcentral's name for it is "partial 16S ribosomal RNA". It matches the Rfam family "Bacterial small subunit ribosomal RNA", at positions 28 to 507 of the family's 1533-position model. The record is from RNAcentral.